This 512-nucleotide ribosomal RNA is filed under the name uncultured bacterium. RNAcentral describes it as "bacterial SSU rRNA". It matches the Rfam family "Bacterial small subunit ribosomal RNA", at positions 373 to 876 of the family's 1533-position model. The record is from RNAcentral.
GCGCGAAAGCCUGAUCCAGCAAUGCCCGCGUGCAGGAUGAAGGCCUUCGGGUUGUAAACUGCUUUUGUACGGAACGAAAAGACUCUGGUUAAUACCUGGGGUUCAUGACGGUACCGUAAGAAUAAGCACCGGCUAACUACGUGCCAGCAGCCGCGGUAAUACGUAGGGUGCAAGCGUUAAUCGGAAUUACUGGGCGUAAAGCGUGCGCAGGCGGUGAUGUAAGACAGAUGUGAAAUCCCCGGGCUCAACCUGGGAACUGCAUUAGUGACUGCAUCGCUGGAGUGCGGCAGAGGGGGAUGGAAUUCCGCGUGUAGCAGUGAAAUGCGUAGAUAUGCGGAGGAACACCGAUGGCGAAGGCAAUCCCCUGGGCCUGCACUGACGCUCAUGCACGAAAGCGUGGGGAGCAAACAGGAUUAGAUACCCUGGUAGUCCACGCCCUAAACUAUGUCAAACUGGUUGUUGGGAAUUCACUUUCUCCAGUAACGAAGCUAACGCGUGAAGUGACCGCCUGG